RNAcentral lists this transfer RNA (74 nucleotides) under Loxodonta africana (African savanna elephant). It matches the Rfam family "tRNA". Rfam says of the family: Transfer RNA (tRNA) molecules are approximately 80 nucleotides in length. Their secondary structure includes four short double-helical elements and three loops (D, anti-codon, and T loops). Lineage: Eukaryota; Metazoa; Chordata; Mammalia; Proboscidea; Elephantidae. The record is from Rfam by way of RNAcentral.
CCCUUGGUCAUGCAAAGGGUUAAUGCAUUUGACUGCUAAUCAAAAGACUGGAGGUCUGAGUCCACCCAGAGGCA